This 375-nucleotide long non-coding RNA is filed under the name Panax ginseng (ginseng). Its description in RNAcentral is "long non-coding RNA (PGIN_LNC005773)". Lineage: Eukaryota; Viridiplantae; Streptophyta; Magnoliopsida; Apiales; Araliaceae. The record is from RNAcentral.
AAUGAUGCAUUGAGAAUAGUAUGUGGAUUGACUGAUGACCAAAUCUCAUUGGUCAUUAAUAUAUGAGAUAUUAAGUCAAUGCAUAGGUACAUGUUAGAGAACGAUGUACUGGACAGACCCACCAUGCGAAUUCUAUAUGGAGCAUUAUGCGAAGUGUCAUUAGCAAUUCUCAUAGUGACAAUGAUGUAAUGGUCCUCCGACCUGAAAUCACUAUAUUACUACACCGGAAUUUAUAUACUUUGAUAUCAUCAAAUGUCACCUUUAAUAGGGUGGAUUAUAAAUGUGAUUAUUGGGUACAUCAUGAAUCGUGUGAGGAAUAUGAGUGAUCUAGAUGGAAUUUAACCUUCCUAUAUAUUAGGGGUGAUAUCCAUAGGC